This 494-nucleotide ribosomal RNA is filed under the name uncultured bacterium. RNAcentral describes it as "partial 16S ribosomal RNA". It matches the Rfam family "Bacterial small subunit ribosomal RNA", at positions 28 to 507 of the family's 1533-position model. The record is from RNAcentral.
GACGAACGCUGGCGGCGUGCUUAACACAUGCAAGUCGAACGGAAAGGCCUGCUUUCCCUUGUGGAUUGCGGGUACUCGAGUGGCGAACGGGUGAGUAACACGUGAGUGAUCUGCCCCCAACUUGGGUAUAAGCCUGGGAAACUGGGUCUAAUUCCCGAUAGGACUGCAGGGUGGUGCCUGUGGUGGAAAACGAUUUUCUAGUGGUUGGGGAUGAGCUCGCGGCCUAUCAGCUUGUUGGUGGGGUAAUGGCCUACCAAGGCGGCGACGGGUAGCCGGCCUGAGAGGGUGGACGGCCACAUUGGGACUGAGAUACGGCCCAGACUCCUACGGGCGGCAGCCGUGGGGAGUAUUGCACAAUGGGCGGAAGCCUGAUGCAGCGACGCCGCGUGGGGGAUGCCGGCCUUCGGGUUGUAAACUCCUUUCGACCGCGAGGAAGCCACCUGGUUGGAAGGGUGGUGACGGUAGUGGUAGAAGAAGCACCGGCUAACUACGUG